CCUUCGCCACGCCCGCUCAAGAACUACGAAAGGAAGUUGACGGGGGCCCGCACAAGCGGUGGAGUAUGUGGUUUAAUUCGAUGCAACGCGAAGAACCUUACCUGGUCUUGACAUCCCGGAGACCCUUAGGAAACUAGGGGGUGCUUCCAUCUGGAAGAAUCUGGAGACAGGUGCUGCAUGGCUGUCGUCAGCUCGUGUCGUGAGAUGUUGGGUUAAGUCCCGCAACGAGCGCAACCCUUGCCUUUAGUUGCCAGCAGUUCGGCUGGGCACUCUAAAGGGACUGCCGGUGUUAAACCGGAGGAAGGUGGGGAUGACGUCAAGUCCUCAUGGCCUUUAUGACCAGGGCUACACACGUACUACAAUGGCCGAUACAAAGGGCAGCGACACUGCGAGGUGAAGCCAAUCCCGUAAAAUCGGUCUCAGUCCGGAUUGGAGUCUGCAACUCGACUCCAUGAAGUUGGAAUCGCUAGUAAUCGUGGAUCAGCAUGCCACGGUGAAUACGUUCCCGGGCCUU
This 514-nucleotide ribosomal RNA is filed under the name uncultured Desulfobulbus sp. RNAcentral describes it as "bacterial SSU rRNA". It matches the Rfam family "Bacterial small subunit ribosomal RNA", at positions 903 to 1382 of the family's 1533-position model. Lineage: Bacteria; Pseudomonadati; Thermodesulfobacteriota; Desulfobulbia; Desulfobulbales; Desulfobulbaceae. The record is from RNAcentral.